CUGAGUGAGGGUCUUUUGGCCCGACCUCCAACCCUCUGUUUAUUAUACCAUGUUGCUUUGGUGGGCCUGCCUUUCGGGGCUGCCGGGGGCAUCACCGCCCCUGACUCGUGCCUGCCAGGAGCCUUUUUAAAUUCCGUGUUCAACGGUGCUGUCUGAGUCCCACUGUCAAAACAUCAA
Molecule: unclassified non-coding RNA, 177 nt
Filed under: uncultured Herpotrichiellaceae
Lineage: Eukaryota; Fungi; Ascomycota; Eurotiomycetes; Chaetothyriales; Herpotrichiellaceae
Description: sequence contains ITS1
Source: RNAcentral